This 316-nucleotide small nuclear RNA is filed under the name Heterocephalus glaber (naked mole-rat). RNAcentral describes it as "7SK RNA". The stretch from base 1 to 269 matches the Rfam family "7SK RNA". Rfam says of the family: 7SK was discovered as an abundant small nuclear RNA in the mid-70s but a possible function has only recently been suggested. Two independent studies have found that 7SK RNA binds the CDK9/cyclin T complex (known as elongation factor P-TEFb). The record is from Rfam by way of RNAcentral. Lineage: Eukaryota; Metazoa; Chordata; Mammalia; Rodentia; Bathyergidae.
GGACGUGAGGACGAUCUGGCUGCGACAUCUGUCACCCCAUUGAUCUCCCGGAUUGAUUUGGAUGUGGCUGGCUGGGCCCGGGUGUCCCCUUCCUCCCUCACCACUUCAUGGCGUCACUCUCGAUGCUGGGCACUCAGAAGAAGAGGGCUCAGUCAAAGAGGACAACCGCCCCUUUCCUCGGUCAAGAGUAGCUGCACUCCCCUGCUAGAGCCUACAAACAAGCUCUCAAGGACAAAUGGCCAGCUUUAUUCAACAAAGGCAUUGCAAAAGAGAAAGAAUGUGAAGACAGAAAAAUAAAGAGACAAAGCAUCUAUUU